AAUUCUUUAGUGGUGGCGGUGACUCCAACCCUAGCAGACACGCGACUUAUUGACCGUGGGAUUGGCAGAUCGGACGGUGCUGAGGAUCCCAUCGCACGCGCUCCUCCCCUCCGCGAAUCACACUUCGCGCUCGCUAUCCAACCGUCGACGCCGCUCCCCUCAUCCUUCGCCGCGCCCCCACCACGCCUUCACCGACCGCCACUCCUGCUCGCCCGAAUCGACGCCGCCGCCGUCGCGGGUCGACAUCGCCGCUCCUCCUAUCGCGCUCCUCCCCGCCGGCACUGCCUCCAUCCAUCCGCCAUCGCCAUCGCACGCCUCCGCCUCUCAAGGUCGCACGCUCAUCGCCGCCGCUCGUCGCCCGACACCCCGCCGAUUGGGGACCGGACGCUGACCCUGCAUCGACGCCACAACAGCCGACAGAUGGGAGAUGUUGAAGACCUCACUCCAACGACGGCUGCGCGCGGUGACACUACCAGGCGUUGA
This 483-nucleotide long non-coding RNA is filed under the name Oryza sativa Indica Group (long-grained rice). Its description in RNAcentral is "lncRNA OsMH63_02G000260". The record is from RNAcentral. Lineage: Eukaryota; Viridiplantae; Streptophyta; Magnoliopsida; Poales; Poaceae.